GCAGCCCGCGGGCUACGCGGGGCGGGGUCGAGCAGCGGCCUGGGUCUCGGAGGGCGGUGGCCCCGGCUCCGCUUUCUCCCGUGGGGCUUCUGCUUUGGCCUUUGUGGGGCGGGGGUGUCCCGUCGGCUCGGGCAGGAUGGGGGCGGGCCGCUGACGUCCGCGAGGGCGGAGCGUACUUGUUUUCGCGGCCGCGGGCGUUUAGCCGAAGGUUCCCGGCCACCGCGGCGUUGGGCCUGGCGUGGUCACUUGUGGGCGCCCGGUGCGUGCAGCGGAAGGUGGAACCGAACUCCGGGCCGGCGGCACACGCGCCGGCGGCAGCCCGCUUUUUGUCUUCCUCCUCGCUGUCCUCGGGGCUGCGGCGACUGGAAAGGCUUCGCCUCCGGAGUUACGCUCUUCCCGGGAUCCGAGAGGCGGCGGGUGCGCUGAAACGCGGGAGGUGCGUGGCGCCCGCGGAGACUCCGAGGGCUGUGUUGGUGCUUGAGUGGGCAGUGCUCGAAGACCAGACCAAGGUCUUCCGUGGGUGUAGAAGAUCGGCCCGGAACGCUUAGUGGAGUGCCUUGGUGACAUUACCAUGUGUCUGUAUUUAUCUGUGCACCACAUGUGUGCUUAGAGCAUCUGGAGGCCAGAAGAGAGCAUCAGAUCACCUGAAGCUGGAGUAAGAAAAGGCUGAACCCUGAGCUGCCACAUGGGUGCUCAUAAUCAAGCCGGGGGCCUGACAGGGCAGCCAGUGCUCUUAACCACUGAGCAGCAAAAAGAAGAAGAAGAAAGCUGGCAUUAAAGGUGUGCACCGCCACCUGCCCCGAGUGUUGAAAUUGCAGGCCUGUGCCACCACACCCUGUGCAAGGAGUCUUUUAAUUUAAUUUUUUGUACUUCUGUCGUGUGGGUGGGCUUGAAUGUCAGGGUAAGGAUGGGGAGAAGAGGACUUGUUUGAGCUGGCUCUCUCUUUCCACAGUGUGUGUUCCAAGGAUUAAACCCAGGUCUGAUAUCAGGUGUGGUAACAAGCAUCUUACCCUGGGCCAUCACCACACAGGCCUUGUUGGUUGGUUGGUCGGUUGGUUCGGUUUUUUGUUUUGUUUUUAUUUAAACAGAUCACAACCAAGUUACUUGGACUAGAUACAGUGACACGCCUUUAGUCUCAGCACUUGGCAGGCAGAGGGAGGCAGAUCUCUGUGGUAGCCUGAUCUACAAUAGCAAGUUCCAGCCAGUCAUAUAGAUGUAGGAGCUGUGCUGUAGAUGUAUCCAUUGGGGCUGGACUCUGUAUUGUGUCCAGUUGUGGUUUAUAAUUUGCCCCCAGAAUUUGGGGGGUUGGACCUAGUGCCCGUGGUGCUGAGCAACCAUUCUACCCACUGAACCAUACAUCCCAGCCCCCUUUUCUCUCUUAGAUGAAGUGAAGCAGAAUUUUCAUGAAGUGUAACAUAUAUAAAGUCCUGCUUAUCUGACAGUUUAACACAGUUUAACAUCUCCCUCCUCAGAUAGGAGCCUGUACCACACCAGGGUGCUGGGAAACCCAAGGGGUCUAGAUCACCUUAGUGCAGCCCAAACUUCCCUCAAAUUCAGUCUCACUAUGCAGAUGGCAUUGUCAUCUGCAUGGCAUAGUGUCUCACAUUCCCAUGUUGAGCCCUUGAGACUCCCAAGGAGGAGGAGGAGCCAGCUAGCUGCCAGGGUUGGUAGGCCAGUGCAAAUUCCACACACAGCUGAUAGGUCUAAAUCUGGGCCUUUCUAUUCUCACCACAUUCCUACACUGACUUUCGGGUGAUCUCAAAUGCCUGCCUGUUGGGUUGAUGGUAUCAUAAUGAGCUUGAUUUUUUUUUUAAUUAAAAAGGUUUAAUUUAUUAUUUUUUAUGAGGGUGUGUUUGUGUGUGUCUGUCUGAUUCUGCACUGUGUGCAUGCCUGGUACCCUUGGAGGUCAGAAGAGGACAUAAGGUCCCCUGGGGUCGGAGUUAUAGACAGUUGUGAACCAUCAUGUGGGUCUUCCACAAGAGCAACAAGUGCUCCUACCUUCUCACCGUCCCUCAGCUCAGAGGUAGGGUGCUCCUCUAGCUAAAUGUGAGUAAGGCCUGGAGCCCAGUUCCUAGCAUUGCAUUUCAGAAAAGAAAAUUGAGAAGCUUUGUGUGUUUGUCUCACUGUACAGCCCAAGCUGGCCUCAGAACUCAGGGUGAGGGCCUGGAGAGGUGGCUCAGCAGGUGAAAACACCGACUGCUAAGCCAGAUUUGACUCCCAGCACCACCCACAUGAUGGCUGGCAACCAGGGUAUCUGAUGGUCUCUUCUGACACGGCAAGCACCCAGUGAGCAUGUAGUGCACAGAAAGGCACGAAGGCAAAACACCCAUAUAAAAUGAACAAAUCUGGUCAGUGUAAACAAAAAAGUCCAAUACAGUUUACAUAAUUGUGCAUAUUUAAUAGCAAAAUGUAAAGAACUUACCAUUUUAAUUUGUAUGCAUUGUUAAUGAGUGUAUAAUUACACCACUUUCCCUUUCCUCCCUCCAGCCCCCACCAGGUCCCCUUCCUCCAACUCUCAAAUUGAUAGUCUCUUCUUCCUCUGUUAUUACUAUUAUGAAUGUGUAUGUUUAUGCAAAAAUAUAUACAUCUAACCUGCUGA
Molecule: long non-coding RNA, 2599 nt
Organism: Psammomys obesus (fat sand rat)
Lineage: Eukaryota; Metazoa; Chordata; Mammalia; Rodentia; Muridae
Exons: 2
Source: RefSeq, a predicted model, not a curated record